Molecule: long non-coding RNA, 225 nt
Filed under: Nothobranchius furzeri (turquoise killifish)
Lineage: Eukaryota; Metazoa; Chordata; Actinopteri; Cyprinodontiformes; Nothobranchiidae
Description: lncRNA (ENSNFUG00015019444.1)
Source: RNAcentral
AUGAGCAUCAGUGAGAGGAACGAGACUUGUGUGGAAGCUGCAGAGACGGACAAUCUGGUGGGGAACAAUUCUGAUUUGGAGCUCAGGCUGAAGAGGACCAGGAGUGGGCGGAUAAUCAAGUCCUCAACGGUUUCAAAGUACAACAUCCACUGCAGCCAGGAAUCAUCAACUGCCUCUGCUAUCUGGAAGAGACGCAAAUUCAGCGAGCCCAAAGAUCACUGCUGA